Molecule: ribosomal RNA, 502 nt
Filed under: uncultured bacterium
Lineage: Bacteria
Description: partial 16S ribosomal RNA
Rfam family: Bacterial small subunit ribosomal RNA
Source: RNAcentral
AUUGAACGCUGGCGGCAUGCCUUACACAUGCAAGUCGAACGGCAGCAUAGGAGCUUGCUCCUGAUGGCGAGUGGCGAACGGGUGAGUAAUAUAUCGGAACGUGCCCUAGAGUGGGGGAUAACUAGUCGAAAGACUAGCUAAUACCGCAUACGAUCUACGGAUGAAAGUGGGGGAUCGCAAGACCUCAUGCCCCUGGAGCGGCCGAUAUCUGAUUAGCUAGUUGGUGGGGUAAAAGCUCACCAAGGCGACGAUCAGUAGCUAGUCUGAGAGGACGACCAGCCACACUGGGACUGAGACACGGCCCAGACUCCUACGGGAGGCAGCAGUGGGGAAUUUUGGACAAUGGGGGCAACCCUGAUCCAGCAAUGCCGCGUGAGUGAAGAAGGCCUUCGGGUUGUAAAGCUCUUUUGUCAGGGAAGAAACGGUUCUGGAUAAUACCUGGGACUAAUGACGGUACCUGAAGAAUAAGCACCGGCUAACUACGUGCCAGCCGCCGCGGUAA